GACGUAGGGCGCGAGCGUUGUCCGGAUUUAUUGGGCGUAAAGAGCUCGUAGGCGGCUUGUCGCGUCGUUCGUGAAAACCCACGGCUCAACUGUGGGCUUGCGGGCGAUACGGGCAGGCUAGAGUUCGGUAGGGGAGACUGGAAUUCCUGGUGUAGCGGUGAAAUGCGCAGAUAUCAGGAGGAACACCGGUGGCGAAGGCGGCAUCCUGGACCGAUACUGACGCUGAGGAGCGAAAGCCAGGGGAGCAAACGGG
RNAcentral lists this ribosomal RNA (253 nucleotides) under uncultured bacterium. RNAcentral's name for it is "partial 16S ribosomal RNA". It matches the Rfam family "Bacterial small subunit ribosomal RNA", at positions 524 to 776 of the family's 1533-position model. The record is from RNAcentral.